CUAAGUUCAGCGGGUAUUCCUACCUGAUCCGAGGUCAACAUUUCAGAAGUUGGGUGUUUUACGGACGUGGACGCGCCGCGCUCCCGGUGCGAGUUGUGCAAACUACUGCGCAGGAGAGGCUGCGGCGAGACCGCCACUGUAUUUCGGGGCCGGGAUCCCGUCUUAGGGGCUCCCGAGGUCCCCAACGCCGACCCCCCGGA
Molecule: unclassified non-coding RNA, 200 nt
Filed under: Trichoderma sp.
Lineage: Eukaryota; Fungi; Ascomycota; Sordariomycetes; Hypocreales; Hypocreaceae
Description: partial internal transcribed spacer 2
Source: RNAcentral